GAUGAACGCUGGCGGCGUGCCUAAUACAUGCAAGUCGAGCGAACAGACGAGGAGCUUGCUCCUCUGACGUUAGCGGCGGACGGGUGAGUAACACGUGGAUAACCUACCUAUAAGACUGGGAUAACUUCGGGAAACCGGAGCUAAUACCGGAUAACAUGUUGAACCGCAUGGUUCAACAGUGAAAGACGGUCUUGCUGUCACUUAUAGAUGGAUCCGCGCCGCAUUAGCUAGUUGGUAAGGUAACGGCUUACCAAGGCAACGAUGCGUAGCCGACCUGAGAGGGUGAUCGGCCACACUGGAACUGAGACACGGUCCAGACGCCUACGGGAGGCAGCAGUAGGGAAUCUUCCGCAAUGGGCGAAAGCCUGACGGAGCAACGCCGCGUGAGUGAAGAAGGUCUUCGGAUCGUAAAACUCUGUUAUUAGGGAAGAACAAAUGUGUAAGUAACUAUGCACGUCUUGACGGUACCUAAUCAGAAAGCCACGGCUAACUACGU
RNAcentral lists this ribosomal RNA (496 nucleotides) under uncultured bacterium. Its description in RNAcentral is "partial 16S ribosomal RNA". It matches the Rfam family "Bacterial small subunit ribosomal RNA", at positions 28 to 506 of the family's 1533-position model. The record is from RNAcentral.